UCUACGGGAGGCUGCAGUAGGGAAUUUUGCGCAAUGGAGGAAACCCUGACGCAGCAACGCCGCGUGAUCGAUGAAGCCCUUAGGGGUGUAAAGAUCUGUCAGUGGGGACGAAACCUGACGGUAGCCACAGAGGCUGCACGGGCUAACUCAGUGCCAGCAGGCGCGGUAAUACGGGGGGUGCAAGCGUUGUCCGGAAUCAUUGGGCGUAACGAGUGCGUAGGGGGCACGAUAAGUCGGGGGUUAAAGGCGGAAGCUCAACUUCGGUAGGGCCCUGGAUACUGGCGAGCUGGAAUGCGGUAGAGGUAAAGGGAAUUCCUGGUGUAGCGGUGAAAUGCUUAGAUAUCAGAAGGAACAUCGGUGGCGUAAGCGCUUUACUGGGCCGUAAUUGACACUGAGGAACGAAAGCCGGGGUAGCAAAUGGGAUUAGAUACCCUUGUAGUC
Molecule: ribosomal RNA, 441 nt
Filed under: uncultured bacterium
Lineage: Bacteria
Description: partial 16S ribosomal RNA
Rfam family: Bacterial small subunit ribosomal RNA
Source: RNAcentral